Molecule: long non-coding RNA, 351 nt
Organism: Suricata suricatta (meerkat)
Lineage: Eukaryota; Metazoa; Chordata; Mammalia; Carnivora; Herpestidae
Exons: 4
Source: RefSeq, a predicted model, not a curated record
UUGAAGUCACAUCUUUGUCUAAAGGAAAUAUUUCCAUGAGCCUUGAAUCAGAAUCACUCAAGAACUUAAAUAUGAGUCCUUUAAUAUGGCUCCAUCAUAGAGAUUUUGAUUCAUUAGAUCUGGGUGCCUAGCCCACCAUCUGAGAGGCAGCAGCACAUAGUAGUUAGGACCAGGAACUGUGGAGCUCAGUGACUUAAUACCUCUGUGACCUCAGAAUAGUAGUUUUGACGGUCCUGCUGAGGCCUGGGCUCUCAGAGGCCCUCGGAGGAAAUCUGUGUGGGGAUGUUGAGCCGGCGGCUGAGGCUUGGAAAGCAGGUGCUGUCAGUAAUGAAGAUAUAGCCUCAGGAGCUA